CCAUCCUCCAAGGCUAAAUACUCCUGACUGACCGAUAGUGAACCAGUACCGUGAGGGAAAGGCGAAAAGAACCCCGGCGAGGGGAGUGAAAAAGAACCUGAAACCGUGUACGUACAAGCAGUGGGAGCACGCUUAGGCGUGUGACUGCGUACCUUUUGUAUAAUGGGUCAGCGACUUAUAUUCUGUAGCAAGGUUAACCGAAUAGGGGAGCCGAAGGGAAACCGAGUCUUAACUGGGCGUUAAGUUGCAGGGUAUAGACCCGAAACCCGGUGAUCUAGCCAUGGGCAGGUUGAAGGUUGGGUAACACUAACUGGAGGACCGAACCGACUAAUGUUGAAAAAUUAGCGGAUGACUUGUGGCUGGGGGUGAAAGGCCAAUCAAACCGGGAGAUAGCUGGUUCUCCCCGAAAGCUAUUUAGGUAGCGCCUCGUGAAUUCAUCUCCGGGGGUAGAGCACUGUUUCGGCAAGGGGGUCAUCCCGACUUACCAACCCGAUGCAAACUGCGAAUACCGGAGAAUGUUAUCACGGGAGACACACGGCGGGUGCUAACGUCCGUCGUGAAGAGGGAAACAACCCAGACCGCCAGCUAAGGUCCCAAAGUCAUGGUUAAGUGGGAAACGAUGUGGGAAGGCCCAGACAGCCAGGAUGUUGGCUUAGAAGCAGCCAUCAUUUAAAGAAAGCGUAAUAGCUCACUGGUCGAGUCGGCCUGCGCGGAAGAUGUAACGGGGCUAAACCAUGCACCGAAGCUGCGGCAGCGACGCUUAUGCGUUGUUGGGUAGGGGAGCGUUCUGUAAGCCUGUGAAGGUGUGCUGUGAGGUAUGCUGGAGGUAUCAGAAGUGCGAAUGCUGACAUAAGUAACGAUAAAGCGGGUGAAAAGCCCGCUCGCCGGAAGACCAAGGGUUCCUGUCCAACGUUAAUCGGGGCAGGGUGAGUCGACCCCUAAGGCGAGGCCGAAAGGCGUAGUCGAUGGGAAACAGGUUAAUAUUCCUGUACUUGGUGUUACUGCGAAGGGGGGACGGAGAAGGCUAUGUUGGCCGGGCGACGGUUGUCCCGGUUUAAGCGUGUAGGCUGGUUUUCCAGGCAAAUCCGGAAAAUCAAGGCCGAGGCGUGAUGACGAGGCACUACGGUGCUGAAGCAACAAAUGCCCUGCUUCCAGGAAAAGCCUCUAAGCAUCAGGUAACAUCAAAUCGUACCCCAAACCGACACAGGUGGUCAGGUAGAGAAUACCAAGGCGCUUGAGAGAACUCGGGUGAAGGAACUAGGCAAAAUGGUGCCGUAACUUCGGGAGAAGGCACGCUGAUACGUAGGUGAAGCGACUUGCUCGUGGAGCUGAAAUCAGUCGAAGAUACCAGCUGGCUGCAACUGUUUAUUAAAAACACAGCACUGUGCAAACACGAAAGUGGACGUAUACGGUGUGACGCCUGCCCGGUGCCGGAAGGUUAAUUGAUGGGGUUAGCGCAAGCGAAGCUCUUGAUCGAAGCCCCGGUAAACGGCGGCCGUAACUAUAACGGUCCUAAGGUAGCGAAAUUCCUUGUCGGGUAAGUUCCGACCUGCACGAAUGGCGUAAUGAUGGCCAGGCUGUCUCCACCCGAGACUCAGUGAAAUUGAACUCGCUGUGAAGAUGCAGUGUACCCGCGGCAAGACGGAAAGACCCCGUGAACCUUUACUAUAGCUUGACACUGAACAUUGAGCCUUGAUGUGUAGGAUAGGUGGGAGGCUUUGAAGUGUGGACGCCAGUCUGCAUGGAGCCGACCUUGAAAUACCACCCUUUAAUGUUUGAUGUUCUAACGUGGACCCGUGAUCCGGGUUGCGGACAGUGUCUGGUGGGUAGUUUGACUGGGGCGGUCUCCUCCUAAAGAGUAACGGAGGAGCACGAAGGUUGGCUAAUCCUGGUCGGACAUCAGGAGGUUAGUGCAAUGGCAUAAGCCAGCUUGACUGCGAGCGUGACGGCGCGAGCAGGUGCGAAAGCAGGUCAUAGUGAUCCGGUGGUUCUGAAUGGAAGGGCCAUCGCUCAACGGAUAAAAGGUACUCCGGGGAUAACAGGCUGAUACCGCCCAAGAGUUCAUAUCGACGGCGGUGUUUGGCACCUCGAUGUCGGCUCAUCACAUCCUGGGGCUGAAGUAGGUCCCAAGGGUAUGGCUGUUCGCCAUUUAAAGUGGUACGCGAGCUGGGUUUAGAACGUCGUGAGACAGUUCGGUCCCUAUCUGCCGUGGGCGCUGGAGAACUGAGGGGGGCUGCUCCUAGUACGAGAGGACCGGAGUGGACGCAUCACUGGUGUUCGGGUUGUCAUGCCAAUGGCACUGCCCGGUAGCUAAAUGCGGAAGAGAUAAGUGCUGAAAGCAUCUAAGCACGAAACUUGCCCCGAGAUGAGUUCUCCCUGACCCUUUAAGGGUCCUGAAGGAACGUUGAAGACGACGACGUUGAUAGGCCGGGUGUGUAAGCGCAGCGAUGCGUUGAGCUAACCGGUACUAAUGAACCGUGAGGCUUAACC
Molecule: ribosomal RNA, 2490 nt
Filed under: Shigella boydii
Lineage: Bacteria; Pseudomonadati; Pseudomonadota; Gammaproteobacteria; Enterobacterales; Enterobacteriaceae
Description: bacterial LSU rRNA
Rfam family: Bacterial large subunit ribosomal RNA
Source: RNAcentral